RNAcentral lists this ribosomal RNA (661 nucleotides) under uncultured marine bacterium. RNAcentral describes it as "bacterial SSU rRNA". It matches the Rfam family "Bacterial small subunit ribosomal RNA", at positions 62 to 767 of the family's 1533-position model. The record is from RNAcentral.
UCGAACGAAGUAGCAAUACUUAGUGGCAGACGGGUGAGUAACAUGUAGGUAUCUGCCCUUUGGCCUGGAAUAACACGAGGAAACUUGUGCUAAUACCGGAUAAGUCUUUACGGAGAAAGCUUUAUGCACCAUUGGAUGAGCCUGCACUUGAUUAGUUUGUUGGUGGGGUAAUGGCCUACCAAGACUGUGAUCAAUAGCUGACUUGAGAGGAUGAUCAGCCACAUUGGGACUGAGACACGGCCCAAACCCCUUCGGGAGGCAGCAGUGGGGAACCUUGCGCAAUGGAGGAAACUCUGAUGCAGCGAUGCCGCGUGAGUGAAGAAGGCCCUUGGGUUGUAAAGCUCUUUCGUCGGGGAAGAAAAUGACUGUACCCGAAUAAGAAGGUCCGGCUAACUUCGUGCCAGCAGCCGCGGUAAUACGAAGGGACCUAGCGUAGUUCGGAAUUACUGGGCUUAAAGAGUUCGUAGGUGGUCGAAAAAGUUGGUGGUGAAAUCCCAGAGCUUAACUCUGGAACUGCCAUCCAAACUUUUCAGCUAGAGUAUGAUAGAGAAAAGCAGAAUUUCUAGUGUAGAGGUGAAAUUCGUAGAUAUUAGAAAGAAUACCAACUGCGAGGGCAGCUUUCUGGAUCAUUACUGACACUGAGGAACGAAAAGCAUGGGUA